AUUGAACGCUGGCGGCAUGCCUUACACAUGCAAGUCGAACGGUAACAGGUCUUCGGAUGCUGACGAGUGGCGGACGGGUGCGUAAUACAUCGGAACGUGCCCGAUCGUGGGGGAUAACGAGGCGAAAGCUUUGCUAAUACCGCAUACGAUCUACGGAUGAAAGCGGGGGAUCUUCGGACCUCGCGCGGACGGAGCGGCCGAUGGCAGAUUAGGUAGUUGGUGGGAUAAAAGCUUACCAAGCCGACGAUCUGUAGCUGGUCUGAGAGGAUGAUCAGCCACACUGGAACUGAGACACGGCCCAGACUCCUACGGGAGGCAGCAGUGGGGAAUUUUGGACAAUGGGCGAAAGCCUGAUCCAGCCAUGCCGCGUGCAGGAUGAAGGCCUUUGGGUUGUAAACUGCUUUUGUACGGAACGAAAAGCCUCUUUCUAAUAAAGAGGGGUCAUGACGGUACCGUAAGAAUAAGCACCGGCUAACUACGUG
RNAcentral lists this ribosomal RNA (482 nucleotides) under uncultured bacterium. Its description in RNAcentral is "partial 16S ribosomal RNA". It matches the Rfam family "Bacterial small subunit ribosomal RNA", at positions 30 to 507 of the family's 1533-position model. The record is from RNAcentral.